UUUCCGUAGGUGACCUGCGAGGAUCAUUGUCGAACCU
Molecule: ribosomal RNA, 37 nt
Filed under: Urtica membranacea
Lineage: Eukaryota; Viridiplantae; Streptophyta; Magnoliopsida; Rosales; Urticaceae
Description: partial 18S ribosomal RNA
Source: RNAcentral